AAAAAGGCGAUGACGGGAAGAGUAAGCAGGGAAUGCGGUUAAAGAGAGCCGGGGAAGGUGAGAGCCGGUACCGAGAACCCUGCCGAACAUGGCCCCCGAGCUUGUGCCGCUGAAAUGAAAAGUAGGCGGUGACGGCCAGGUCCGUUAAAACCUCAGAGGCCUUAAAGGCGAAUUAGGGUGGUACCGCGGGUAUGCCCCCGCCCCUUCA
Molecule: non-coding RNA, 208 nt
Filed under: Thermosediminibacter oceani
Lineage: Bacteria; Bacillati; Bacillota; Clostridia; Thermosediminibacterales; Thermosediminibacteraceae
Description: T-box sequence
Rfam family: T-box leader
About the family: Uncharged tRNA acts as the effector for transcription antitermination of genes in the T-box leader family.
Source: RNAcentral